This 451-nucleotide ribosomal RNA is filed under the name uncultured bacterium. RNAcentral describes it as "bacterial SSU rRNA". It matches the Rfam family "Bacterial small subunit ribosomal RNA", at positions 354 to 796 of the family's 1533-position model. The record is from RNAcentral.
GUCGAGGAUCAUUCGCAAUGGGCGAAAGCCUGACGAUGCGACGCCGCGUGAGCGAAGAAGGCCUUCGGGUUGUAAAGCUCUUUGAGCAGGGACGAACGCUUUCCCGUCAACAACGGGUAGAGCCUGACGGUACCUGCAGAACAAGCCACGGCUAACCUCGUGCCAGCAGCCGCGGUAAUACGAGGGUGGCAAGCGUUGUUCGGAUUUACUGGGCGUAAAGGGGGUCUAGGUGGUGUGCUAAGUCCUCUGUGAAACUCCGGAGCUUAACUCCGGGACUGCAGGGGAAACUGGCAUGCUUGAGCGCGUAAGACGCAUGCGGAAUACUGGGUGUAGCGGUGAAAUGCGUAGAUAUCCAGUAGAACACCUGCGGCGAAAGCGGCCUGCGUGUACGCUGCUGACACUGACGCCCGAAAGCGUGGGGAGCAAACAGGAUUAGAAACCCGUGUAGUCC